This is a long non-coding RNA of Bombyx mori (domestic silkworm), 3275 nucleotides long. RefSeq lists it as uncharacterized. Lineage: Eukaryota; Metazoa; Arthropoda; Insecta; Lepidoptera; Bombycidae. The transcript has 2 exons. The record is from RefSeq and is a predicted model, not a curated record.
CAUACAUGUUGCAGUUUUAAUUAAUGCUCUUUCAACGCCUUUUUUAUCAGAUCAACAGGCUUUUUAUUGCUCUCUAAAUUUACAUCAAUGAAACUAGAUUUUUUCUGAUACGCCUUCCCAGCUAGUUCAAGGUAGACAUGCAUUUCAUUCACUCUCUCAGAUUUAUCUAUGUACGUAUUAAAACAACCUAGUCAAUCAAAGAAUGUCAAAACAAAUAAAAUGGUUUUAAAAUAUUUGUGGAAGUCCAGAGAAGGUUUAAAAGUUUACGUGGUAUCCCACCCCUCCUGGCUGAGCCUUUGCACGCCCACCUGUCCUGGAGAAACUGGAGAGGCCUCCGGGACAACAGGAAUCCCACAUUCAUAAAAAAAAAGUUUACGCGGUGACACGUGCGUGGUCGAAAUUAAACCAUAAUGAAUAUAUUAUAACAUCAAUAUUGACGUUAAUGUGAAUUAUUGACAUUAACGACGUAAUGAUAUAUUUUCACGUUAUUUAGAUUGAAUAUCCUGCUAAUAUUACAUGUUCUCAUACAGAAAUGGGAAGUCCUCGUGCAGGAAAAAAGGAUAAAUUGGUAGACCUGGGCCAUAGCCACGAGGCAUGUUGAUCCAACUAUCAUUAUUCCGAUAAUUGUAUCGAUAUAUAUAUAUACAUAUGUUUUGUAUAUUAUAUCAUCAGUCUAUAUCAAUCCAAUGCUUGACAUAAACUUUUCCAAUUGCGCGCUAUUGAGCACUAUAACCAUAAGACUAAUUUAAAUUAAGUACUUUCUUGUUGACCAGUUGAAGACGAUUAAAUAUACUUAUUAGUUAAAUAAAAUAUACUAAUUAAUUCAAGAGAAUAAAUUCAACGAACACGUCCAAUAUCAGAUUGGUCUUCCUUUAACAAAAACGUAUUUAAACAGAAAGAAGAAACGAGAAUAAUUAUACUGAGUAAGAUUUUAUCCUGACGUUUUCUUCUAAGAACAUAGAACAUGUCAUAAGAACUAUUCAGCAAGUUAACAAGGCUUACUUAUGUACGAAGUAAACUGCUUGCACUUAGCUCCCGUCGUGUUACACAGCACUCCUUUCACGGAGGGGGGAAUGCGAGUAAUACAAUAGCGCAAGACUUACCGUACAUAAGAUCUUCACCGACUGUUAUACACUUAAAGCUAUUCUACAUAAAUAAUCUUUUACAUUUACACAUUAUAUCAUGAUAUUGUACUUAAGGAUUAUGUCUGGAAGUAGUGUGUUCUGUAAGCCUGCACAGGUACGGAUCUCAAAUAUUAAGUGUUAUACACUACGGCUACGGAAACCACAAUCUAACCUAAUUAUGCUGCGAAUCAAUUUGAGGGACGGUUUGGCGUUAAAGAAAACCAUUUGAAACUUCAAACCUGUCGGGUGGAUUCACGUCUGUAAUGUUUAUGAACUCUGCUAGUGAUUUACCAAAAAAUGGAAUCGUAAGAUCGCCUAUCUAUCCAGUGGAAUAGAAGAUAAAAGUAAAUAAUAAUAAACUGUGUCUUUGCGGUGAAAAUAAGCUUUAAGGUGGGAUUGCCUCAGGCAGGCCGACAAUUACUACCACAGACCCUUUAUUUAUCGAUAAAAUUUUUUUAUUAGAAUAGUAACUGCAACCUGAGAUUCGAAAACUGAUCGUGUCAGACCAGUACCCACUCGAUGAGAUAUGUCAAGAGGAAUAUGAAGAAGAUGGGAUUACGUUUGUAACGCAAAUAUCCUCAGAUAUUAGCGUGAUAGAUUUAGAAAGAUUAAAUUUAAUAUUCAAACGCCACUAGAGAAAAAAGAAGACUAAAUAGAACACUUGGAAAACAUGAAGCACCUCAAUUUCUAACCUCAAAUAAAUCAAACAAUAUUGACGAUAAUUUAAACGGUAGGAAACGUCGCAUACUGCCCGACCACUAAGUCCUUUCAGAAACCCAUCAAACAACAAUCAAAGUGACCCGACAGUUUGUAGAAGCUCCAUUAACAUGCAACAACACACAUAAUGCAUAAUAGCUACUCAGAACUUGAUGACCGCAAUGUUCGCUUUCAACCAACUAUGCACAGUGUUCGCCUAAACAUAACGUACAAAAAGAUUUAUAAUCGCAUUUUGAGCAAACUGAGAAAAUCACUAACAUCUUAUCGAUCUCAGACAAGUCUAUGAGUAUUUUAACUGAACCUGUUUACUCCAUUUUCACUGUAUAAUACUACGAUAAAACGCUAGAAGCGUUUCCUCGAAAUCUGUUUGUAUCGAAAUAUAUGAAACUGAGUCUACAAAUUAGUAUAUUUAUCCGACUAUGCAGAACAAAGAGAACGAAAAAUGUGUGAACGGCGGGAAGUAAUAAAUCUUGCGACUCGUUCUGUCGAUUUUUAUCAGCAAUUUGAUUAAAUCCGUUGAGCUGUUGGUUCCUCACGGCCGACCCCGCCCUACUAGGACCCUAUGAAAACAUUUACUUGUCCUUUUAAAAAGAGUUCUUGUGAUGUCAACCUUAGGGAAAACGUAUGUGUAUGUAUAUUGCCAACGCGCCCGUGUUAACUCACCCGUGAUUUGUACGCGUUCAUGGAGCAAUGAAAAGAAAUUGUUGUGACUUCGAUUUGAAGGUAGCAUAGACAAGUUAUAUUAUCUAUAAUUGAAAUUUCUGAAUGCCAAAUAUCGUACAGUAUAUACUAAGUUAAUUACUUUUAAAAUUAGCAACACUGGCUAGAAUUUCACUUAGGUUUUUCAUUUAAUGUACCGGUAACCCAAUUACAUACAACUUAUAGCAAAUACAGUUAAAUAAGCUACAACAAAAUCAUGUAUACUAAUAAGACUUUUGUAUUACUAAGACGAUACAAUAUUUUCAUAUCACUAAUAUUUUUUUAUAGCAAUCAGAAACUAUCAGUUCCCGAAGUAAUAUCAUCGCAAUGCUUCCGAAAUGCAAUCAAUAGAUACAUUCACUCAGACAUAUCUACUGCUUGCCUCAUUUAUAAAGAUUUAUGCUGCUAUCCUCCCCCUCAUUCGCUUUAUAUGUAACCGUAAAUAUAUACAUAAUAAUAUACAUAUAUACACGAAACAUAAAAUUGUUUAUUUCCUGUUCAGCUUGUUCUUAUACGCGCAUGGGAAUCAUCCACUGAAUUUCGCAGCGUGAAUGUUGCCGUGCAACUUUUAGAAUGGUUUUAUAAUUGUUAUUUUCUCUUCGUGAAGUUUUUGUUUUAUCUUUCAUGUAAAUGUAAUUACACACAAUAAGGUCAGAUUGUAUUUAUGGUAAAAUCGAAAUGGUUAUUACGUUUUAUAUGUUUUGUUGUGCUUUAAAUUAAAAUGUUUGAUUGUAA